UGUGUUAGCCGUUCCUAUCCCAGACGACCGCCCAGCCGCCGAAGACCUCCCUCUUCCUGAUCUGUUCCACGGUCAGCAGCUCCUGUACGCUUCCCUCUCUGUCCCUUGGAUAUUUCUGCACUACCGGCUAUAUCUCCAGCCGCGCGUCUCCCUGCUCUCUGCGUUCUUCUUCCUCCCCGUACGCGGCUCUCUCCAGCUCGCUCAGAUCUCCCAUGGCACUUGGCGUCCAAGCCCCUGGUUGAGCUCGCCCAAUCUCCCUUUUCUUCAAUCCGGGAUUGAGGUCCUUCUCUGGUCAUGCUGCGUCCAUUCUCUCUACGAUUGUCUCUGUGUCUCGGUCGAGUCCGUGCUCCUCUGCUCGGCGUCUUCCCUUCUCGCCAGUGGAGCUUCCUCCCUGUUGCGGCUCAGCCUCUAGGUUGCUUCCUCGCCGUGCCCAAGGUUCCUCCAUGGCUACGUUUCCCCGCUGUCUGCGCGCAGCCGCGUCCUCGAGUUUAGCCCAGCUUGGCAACACCAAUAGACUCCCUGGAACCAGCGCCCUGCUCCCUGUUGCCGCGAGCUCCAGCUCGGAUUCAGCCCAGCUUGCCCCUACCCAUGUCGCGCGGGUUUCUCUAACCCCGGCGUUGUCGUUUCAGUUGACCACGCCGGCUGUGAGUUGAGUUUGGUUUCGGCGGGUUACUCGGAUUACUUUCGACCGGUGUUGAGAGUUCGUCAUGUGGUGUAUGACGGGGAGAUACGUAAAAAAGGUCCUAGCCGGUUAUGGAGAAACUUGCUGAGCGUCGGAUGAAGAUGUGCGUGAAGUUCGUAUAGUAGCUGCCAAGUGCUCGACAAAUUGUCUGGAUCGGAAAAUCAUUACCAACCUCGCGGAUUCGAGUCAAAUAUUGAAAUGGUGAGCUAAUUUGCUAUUUUAUUGACUGGUUUGAUGGAUGAAUUGAUAGGUGUGUACGUCGCGAUGAAUAUCCUGCUUGUAGCUAAGCACGUAUUUAUAUAACGCUUGUAGGAAUACGGGGCUACAGGUAGCAUGACAAUUGUGUCCACGAUUGCGAAGUCGUCGUGCUGCGUAGCUAAGUUUAGGAUUAACGACAUAGGUUAUGUGAGAAGAUUAAAUCGGUGAUUUGUAUCCGAUGAAUGAUCGAAUUAAUAAUGGGAGGGUUAGGUUUAAAUAUUUAUUAUGCGAGGAAUAUAUGGAUAAACCUAUGUGAGGUAUGAUGAGUUAGUAACGCGAAAGUAGGUUAAAUUAUAUGAUUAAGUCAAUGAUAUUCCCUUUUAGUAGUUAUAUUUUUUGGUUAAUAGCUAAUUAAAUGGCAUGGUUGGAUAGUACCCGUUUCAUCGAGUAUUAAUAGCGAGAUCUCGUGUGAUGCUCGCUAGGUGCUUGGCAAAAUAUCUAAGAUAUGAAACCCUCACUGACUUGGUCGUUCUUGCUGAUAUCAAGACCGAUUCAGUUAUAGUGAGUUAUUUCCCUAUUUGAGUUAAUUAGUUUAACUAGUGGACCGAAUAGAAUAUAAGUAGGCUUGUGUGAUGAAAUGUCAUAAUCGCUUGUAAUGGUGUGAUUCGAUUAUUACUCUACCUGCUAAGUCAUAAAAUAAUGUGAUCCCGAUAUCUAGUAUUUUCAUACUAGAUUUGCGAUGUCUUACUAUAGGGGUUUAAUUCGCUAUCGCGUAAUACUAUUUAGGUUUGAAAUAUUCAUGUCUAUAUGCAUUCAUGUGCAUAAUGCAUAUCAUUCAGGUACGUUAAUUAAUUGCGUGAUGUGGAAGACGACCCAAGUCGACCCCAAGCGCGGGCUACUCCGCAUGGUGAAGCUGAAGGACGAACGCAAGGAUGGAUGACCUGACAAGUUCCAAAACAAAGAAUGGUCGUCAAGUGCUCAUCGUCUAACAACACUAACCUAGUGUUACCCAGGCAAGCCCCGGUGCAUGCAACCCCUUCCUUGUGUUUUUAAAUAAUUUUUGCACACUUUAAGUCUAGUGAAAUGUGCAUUAGGUUUAUAGGAGUUGCUUGGAAACCCUUUGAUGCAUUGCCUUCCUUGAUAUCCAUACCUUUAUAGAUACUUCCUUGUGAAGUAUCAAAAUAUGAUUUACAAAAAUGCUUAGCCCUGCUUAGAUCUUGUGGAUAGAGGUUGUCUUUUGCAUUAAUGCCUAGCUCAGGGGUUAUCCUGAGGAAAGAUGGCUUCUACCUGCAAGAAUAUUUUCAUUAAGAGCGUGGUGGGAUCUUACUGCAAAGUUCCCUUUGAUGCUCUUUUCAUCCUAAGGAACACAAACAAUCCUAAGGAUGGAAGUACUUAAAUCGGGACUUGGGCUAGGAACAGGUGAUGCUCCGCCCAAGUUAGUUAAGGAUUGGAUGUGUAUGUAGGCCUGUAUGAUCAAGGACUAUCUUAACUAGCCACAUGCCCUGGAUAUGGGACAGGGUAAGCUUGAACCCGACUAUUCCAUACAUGAAAAGACAAUCGCGCACUGGGAGUGGAGAGAUGGCGAGAGUGGCACGUACCCUCCUGGCAAAGGAUCGCCUAAAAGGGGUGGUGUGCUCUCGGGUGGCGUGGACCUGUUCAUGUAGUGGAGGAUCCGUGGGAACGGUUGACAUAUGGAAGGGUUAAGUGCUACAUAUGUCGUGUGGUUAGAGAUCCUCAGCUGAGUAAAUCGAUUCGGAUCGCCGUUAUAUCCCCGGAGAGUGGAGACUUGAUCGCUGCCCUGCAACCUAAGUCAGGAUGUGAACCUCAUGAAUAAAAAUGAUGUUGUAUUGAUGAGAUGGUAAAAUUAGACCAGAUGCAAACAGAGUCUAUUAAUAUUUAAUCUGCCACUAAAAUAUUGAAAGUAAGGACUCACUUUAGUAAGCUACUUCUGCAAAAGUAUCUAAGUUGAUUCUUGCUAAAGCCUCUCCUUGAUUCCCAAAUCCAGCAUAUCCUUGAGAGUCUUUUCUUUAGUCGGGUAAGUCUUGCUGAGUAAUUCCAUACUCAGGGUUUUAUUCCCUGUUGUUUUUCAGGUUAUAGUUUUGUGCUGCUGUUGAUGGUGUUAAGUGCCGGUGGGCUCGGCCUUCUUAUAUAAGUAUACCUCGUCUUUAUCUUCUUAUUGAGGAUGGUCACUUAAGCUAGCAUAUAUUUCAAACUUAUAAACAAUUUAUAACAGUUUAAAGUUAUUCCUUUGAAUCAUUUUUUGUAAUCACUCCGAUCAUGUACAUUAUAAAACUUGAUGUAACAUGUAAAAUUUGGUAAUAAGAUUUCCGCUGCAAAAAUAUUGGUGUGUGAUUUGUGUUUACUUAAUCCCGCGGUUCUGGUUGUAAGUGGUUUAUCCGAUGUCCUUGGGGCAAUCAGACGGAUCCUGUUAAGUUAUCUGGUGCACAUGCAUAGCAGUCUGAGGUCUUUGAGACAAGGACAG
This 3362-nucleotide long non-coding RNA is filed under the name Zea mays. Its description in RNAcentral is "long non-coding RNA (ZMAY_LNC000885)". Lineage: Eukaryota; Viridiplantae; Streptophyta; Magnoliopsida; Poales; Poaceae. The record is from RNAcentral.